This 203-nucleotide long non-coding RNA is filed under the name Gossypium barbadense (sea-island cotton). RNAcentral's name for it is "long non-coding RNA (GBAR_LNC012852)". The record is from RNAcentral. Lineage: Eukaryota; Viridiplantae; Streptophyta; Magnoliopsida; Malvales; Malvaceae.
AAAGUAGACGAAGAAAAAAAAGAAAACCGAAAGAAAAAGAACGUGAAAAGAACUAAUUAAUUUUUAGAAGAGAGAAAAAUAAAAGAAAAAGAAAAAGAAAAAUAAUAAAAAAAUUAUCCCAACUCCCCUAUUAUCCCACUAACUAACAAAUUCCCCCAAAACUAUCAUCCACUACCACAGACUUCCACUUCCACCUAACCUCU